Setaria italica (foxtail millet) is the source of this 911-nucleotide long non-coding RNA. RefSeq lists it as uncharacterized. The transcript has 4 exons. NCBI's taxonomy places the organism in Eukaryota, Viridiplantae, Streptophyta, Magnoliopsida, Poales, Poaceae. The record is from RefSeq and is a predicted model, not a curated record.
UCGUUCAUCUUCGGCAACGGCAAUUCUACCGCUGCUGCUGGGAGCGGCGCGCAUCCACCAUGGCCCUCCAUUGCAUUGGCGGUCAAAUCGAUCGACGCCUAGAUCGUGAGUAGUCUGGAUCGCGCCUUUGCGGAGUUCCGAGGGACUGUGUGGGUUGCGCCUACACUCGCCGCACAAACCGAAAUGCUCACCAGGUGCUCGGCGAUGUUCUGCAUAGGCAAAGAACUAGCAAAAGAUUCCCUACUGGAAGCAAACUACAAAGAAUGUAUACAACUGUCUAUAGGUGAGGUGGCAAGUUUGAUCCAUACAAGGUAUCAACAAUGGCGAUGACACACUGAACAUCUGCUGCAUAGUUGUCCUUCAAAGGUGAAAGGACACAUUUUCUGAUGGCAUUCUCAGAUAUUAGGAGAACUGCGUAUCAUUAUAUUAAGAAGAUUAAAAUUAAGAGGUCUAGAGAUGAUACUUACCAACAGUGUACUCAAACAUAAUAGCAACAGUGACGAUGGACCAGAUGAUGUUAGUCCCAAAGAUGUCAUAGGAUGCACGGAAGAGUAUGAGCAGUGACACAAGGAGGCAAGCAAGGCCAACCUUGAGUGCAAAGGUGACCCUGUUCGUGUCCUGCCUUGCAAAUUCCCAGACAUCACGUAGCCACUUUCUGGGGGAGGGAACUUCUUCAGUGAUUGGCUUCUUUACAGCUUCUGGCACCACAAUGUUUGAUGUUCAGCUGUUGAAGUGGCUGUUGAAGUGUGGAGUAUUAUGGAUGGAGGGAGGUUAUAUAUAGAUUUGUUGAGAGGCUAAGAUGGUGGUGCAAGUAGAUAAAAAAUAUCGAUACAGGUAAUGUCAGAUGCUCUAGCUCUAUAAUGUAUGUACUGAUGGUGAAUUGGAAUAUAUCAUCUGAAGUAAUUGUUUGA